ACGGUGACGUAACAGCUGAAAGAAGUAGAUAGCAAAACUCUGGUCCGACGAACAGAAAUCAUUUUAGGCAGGUUACGGUGGAUAAGCGAGCAAAAUAUCGCAAAGCCCAAUAGUUAGACGGAACCGGACAUGUAUAGAUGGCGGAUGUAUGGAGCGAAAGAUCAU
RNAcentral lists this non-coding RNA (165 nucleotides) under uncultured Succinivibrio sp. The record is from RNAcentral. Lineage: Bacteria; Pseudomonadati; Pseudomonadota; Gammaproteobacteria; Aeromonadales; Succinivibrionaceae.